This is a long non-coding RNA of Pipistrellus kuhlii (Kuhl's pipistrelle), 1052 nucleotides long. RefSeq lists it as uncharacterized. NCBI's taxonomy places the organism in Eukaryota, Metazoa, Chordata, Mammalia, Chiroptera, Vespertilionidae. The transcript has 2 exons. The record is from RefSeq and is a predicted model, not a curated record.
CCUUUCAGUCUGCAGGCCGACGCUCUGUCCACUGAGCCAAACCUCUCUUGGCUGUUUCAUACAUUCUUAUAGUCUAAUCACUAUAUUCAAGCAUACUUUGGCACAGAGUUAUUUUCAUCAAUUUCUUGACAACUAUUAACCUACUUUUGCUCACCCCUGUACAGUAAAGUAACACAUUCUAGGUAGCCUUUAUUAUUCAUCUAAGAAAAUAUAAUAUCCUAAAUAAAUAAGUCAUGUACCACUUGAUGGGGAUACAUUUUUAGAAAUGCAUCGUUAGUUGACUCAGUCAUUGUAUGAACAUCAUAGAAUAUACCCCAUUACACAUUUAGGCUAUGUGAUAUAGCCUAUUGCUCUGUUGGAAGGAAAAAUAAUUUCCCUUCCAUUCUUCUGGGUUCUUGGCUGAGACAUCCCUGUAAAUAAAUACAGAUUAACAAGGGUGGGGGGGGAGGAAUAACAUGUAUAUGUACCAUAUACAUGGGAAAGACCAGGAAAAUUAAGUAAGUUGCCAAAAUGACUGAAAUUGCCACCUUAAAUAUCAGCUGAAGACAAAAGAUGUUGGGGUUGUUAUGCAGAUGUAAAUGGUUGCCUUCUGUAUUGAUAAGAGUUUCUAGAGAUCAGAUCAUUCCCCUCUUUUGGGUACGUGGAGAGAGACACCCUUACAAUUGAAGAUUUCCCUUAUAGGUGAGUCUUAAAAAGGGUAUCUUCAAGUUGGUUUUUAGCACUUCUCCCAUGUCUGCUAUUCCUUAAAAUCACCUAGACUAAAAUAAUCCUUAUGCUAGAGUGACAUAUUUUAGGGAUAUUUACCUUAAGUUCUUACUUGCCUACCACCUGCUUCCUGUCUAGAGUUCUUUUAGCCAAUUUUGUCCAAUUCUACACAAACAAUUCCAGAGAAUUGAAGAGGUGGACUAUUUCCCAACUCAUUCUAUAUAGUGAGUGUUAUCCAGAUCCUAAAACCUGAAACAGACAUUAAAAGAAAACUAAAAAGCGGUAUCCCUCAUGAGUAUAAGUGCAAAAAUUCUAAACACAAUUUUUAGCAAAGCAAAUUCAACAUG